RNAcentral lists this ribosomal RNA (434 nucleotides) under uncultured bacterium. Its description in RNAcentral is "bacterial SSU rRNA". It matches the Rfam family "Bacterial small subunit ribosomal RNA", at positions 340 to 767 of the family's 1533-position model. The record is from RNAcentral.
UACGGAAGGCAGCAGUGGGGAAUAUUGCACAAUGGGCGCAAGCCUGAUGCAGCCAUGCCGCGUGUAUGAAGAAGGCCUUCGGGUUGUAAAGUACUUUCAGUCGUGAGGAAGGUGUUAAGGUUAAUAACCUUAGCAAUUGACGUUAGCGACAGAAGAAGCACCGGCUAACUCCGUGCCAGCAGCCGCGGUAAUACGGAGGGUGCGAGCGUUAAUCGGAAUUACUGGGCGUAAAGGGCACGCAGGCGGUUAAUUAAGUUGGAUGUGAAAUCCCCGGGCUUAACCUGGGAAUGGCAUUCAAGACUGGUUAGCUAGAGUCUUGUAGAGGGGGUUAGAAUUCCAUGUGUAGCGGUGAAAUGCGUAGAGAUGUGGAGGAAUACCGGUGGCGAAGGCGGCCCCUGGACAAAGACUGACGCUCAUGUGCGAAAGCGUGGGGA